This 236-nucleotide ribosomal RNA is filed under the name Coccomyces multangularis. Its description in RNAcentral is "partial 18S ribosomal RNA". The record is from RNAcentral. Lineage: Eukaryota; Fungi; Ascomycota; Leotiomycetes; Rhytismatales; Rhytismataceae.
GUAACAAGGUUUCCGUAGGUUAAGUUCAGCCUACCAGAGCAGCCUGGAAAUGCUAGUUGGCGCUGCGCCAGCGACACGCCCACCUUGCGGAAAAGCCCUGCCUCAGGGAAACCCGCAGCCCCUACCCGGGGUUCAGAGACUCAAUAGGCGUGGGUCUGGCUUCGGCCAGGCUUGAGAUAGAGCCCGUCCCCGCUGGCCACGGCGGGGAGCAAACGGAACCUGCGGAAGGAUCAUUA